This is a non-coding RNA of Acanthosepion pharaonis, 105 nucleotides long. NCBI's taxonomy places the organism in Eukaryota, Metazoa, Mollusca, Cephalopoda, Sepiida, Sepiidae. The record is from the annotation of a GenBank genome assembly.
GCCCAUAUCACGUUGAAACACUGGCUCUCGUGCGAUCACCGCAGUUAAGAAAUUUUGAACCUGGCCAGUACCUAGAUGAGCGACUGCUUGGGAAUACCAGAUGCU